GUGGANUGAUUUGUCUGGUUGAUUCCGAUAACGAGUGAGAUCUCUGCCUCCCAAUAGCCUGGGGCUCGCAUUCGGUAGGGCCUGGUUCUCGGAGGGAACCCCACAUCCAAAGCGGGUCUUUCCCCGUGCGUGUCUAUCCGCGUCCAAACCCCUUCACGGGGGCGAGGGCGUGCGGUGGGGGCGUGCGGUGUGUGGGGCCCGUGUGGGGGAAAGCCCGAGACCACCCGAGAGCCUUUCUCAGUUCAGCUUCUCUGAGGUGCUGCGUACACUGCCAAGUGCGCGCAUGCUAGAGCCAACAGCAGGUCUGUGAUGCUCCCAGAUGUCCUGGGCCGCACGCGCACUACAUUGACACAGUGAAUGAGUCACAAGCCCCACUCUGUGGGCCCUGGCCGGAAGUGGUCGGGAAAUCUUGCGAGUCUGUGGCCGUACUGGGGAUAGAUGAUUGCAACUGUCUGCCUUGAACGCGGAAUACCUAGUAUGCGCAGGUCAUCAGCCUGCACAGAUUGUGUCCCUGCCAUUUGUACACACCGCCCGUCGUUGCUACCGAUGGUAGCUGGAUAGAACCAUCAGGAGGUCAGGCCAUCCCGGACGCGUGACGGUCAGGCGGCUUGCCGUCGUCGGGCCCCGCGCGCUCCAGGGCCAAGCUGAAAUUGGGUAAUGUCCUGCUGCUAGAGGAAGCAAAAGUCGU
RNAcentral lists this ribosomal RNA (688 nucleotides) under Euglena myxocylindracea. RNAcentral describes it as "bacterial SSU rRNA". It matches the Rfam family "Eukaryotic small subunit ribosomal RNA", at positions 1301 to 1792 of the family's 1831-position model. The record is from RNAcentral. Lineage: Eukaryota; Euglenozoa; Euglenophyceae; Euglenales; Euglenaceae.